Molecule: ribosomal RNA, 253 nt
Filed under: uncultured bacterium
Lineage: Bacteria
Description: partial 16S ribosomal RNA
Rfam family: Bacterial small subunit ribosomal RNA
Source: RNAcentral
UACGGAGGAUGCAAGCGUUAUCCGGAAUGAUUGGGCGUAAAGCGUCCGCAGGUGGCUAUGUAAGUCUGCUGUUAAAGAGUGAGGCUCAACCUCAUAAGAGCAGUGGAAACUACAUGGCUAGAGUGCGUUCGGGGCAGAGGGAAUUCCUGGUGUAGCGGUGAAAUGCGUAGAGAUCCGGAGGAACACCGACGGCGCAGGCAGCGUCCUGGCCGCUUGCUGACACUGAGGCACGAAAGCUGGGGGAGCAAACAGG